UACGUAGGUGGCAAGCGUUGUCCGGAAUUAUUGGGCGUAAAGCGCGCGCAGGCGGUCCUUUAAGUCUGAUGUGAAAGCCCACGGCUCAACCGUGGAGGGUCAUUGGAAACUGGGGGACUUGAGUGCAGGAGAGAAGAGUGGAAUUCCACGUGUAGCGGUGAAAUGCGUAGAUAUUGGGAGGAACACCAGUGGCGAAGGCGGCUCACUGGACCGGAACUGACGCUGAGGCGCGAAAGCGUGGGGAGCAAACAGG
This 253-nucleotide ribosomal RNA is filed under the name uncultured bacterium. Its description in RNAcentral is "partial 16S ribosomal RNA". It matches the Rfam family "Bacterial small subunit ribosomal RNA", at positions 524 to 776 of the family's 1533-position model. The record is from RNAcentral.